GGCUUGGUAGCUCAUUGGUAGAGCGCCGUGUCACUGACACGGAAGUCCUGAGUUCGAGUCCUAGGCAAGUCC
Molecule: transfer RNA, 72 nt
Filed under: Daphnia galeata
Lineage: Eukaryota; Metazoa; Arthropoda; Branchiopoda; Diplostraca; Daphniidae
Rfam family: tRNA
About the family: Transfer RNA (tRNA) molecules are approximately 80 nucleotides in length. Their secondary structure includes four short double-helical elements and three loops (D, anti-codon, and T loops).
Source: Rfam by way of RNAcentral